RNAcentral lists this long non-coding RNA (900 nucleotides) under Androctonus crassicauda. Lineage: Eukaryota; Metazoa; Arthropoda; Arachnida; Scorpiones; Buthidae. The record is from RNAcentral.
CGGAAAGUUGUUUUUAACAAUUUAUUUAAAAUUAAAAUAUUUAUUUAAAAUUUUUAAUAUUAACGAUAUAGGAAAUAUGUAUUUUACACCAAAACAGAGAAACUGACAACAAACAACAUAAGAGGAGAAAGAGUUACAUCAAGGAGACACACGUGUGUUUGGGAUACAUAUCAAUAAAAAUCUAAUUUUAAAAUAUGUACGAAAGUCGAGGAUCGCCUGUGAUUACUUUAUUCAUAAAAUUUAAUAAAAUGAUAAAACAUAAAUAUUUAGCAAUAACAUGUAUAUAUUCCUUUCAGAUCGUUUCUUACAGGAAGAGAUUAGGAAAAAAGCGUAUAGGUAUAACUGCGGCUGGAGUGUUCACCAUUACUAGGAAAAGUAUAUCCAAGGUAAAAUGUAUUCAAGUAAAAUUUAUAACUGAUCAUCAUCUAUUCAAUUUAAUAAAGAGUAUUUGAAUUUUUAUAUUUUUAAUUGAAUACAAGUGCACGAAAUAUAAAUCGAAAUAUUUUCUUUUAUAGUUAUUACAUUCGACAUAUUCAUAUUCAUCGAGUGUAGCUGGAAUCAAAAAUGGGAUAGAUGUAUGCCAAAACGCUUACAUGCAUAUUCAAAUUUGAAGAAAACUAUAUAUAUUUAGCAGUCAAAAGUAAAAUACAGUACUGUAAAAAUUUGUACUGUUGUGUUUUUCUGAUCAGAAUUGUAUUGGACUUUAAACAUUCUUAUAUUAGAACUCUAUUUUUAGUAUUUAUACUUCUAUGAUCAGCAAUAUAUAUCACCAGUUACAGUUCGUCUUCUGCAUACCACAGUGUGGUCCUCGAAAUCGUCGGGUGAACUAUGACAGGUUUAUGACUUUACCGCGGUGAUGCCGCGUUUGCGAGUAAGGAUAGGUAAUGAGGCAAAAGACUG